Molecule: ribosomal RNA, 374 nt
Filed under: uncultured organism
Description: partial 16S ribosomal RNA
Rfam family: Bacterial small subunit ribosomal RNA
Source: RNAcentral
GUAGGUGGCAAGCGUUGUCCGGAAUUAUUGGGCGUAAAGCGCGCGCAGGUGGGUUCUUUAAGUCUGAUGUGAAAGCCCCCGGGCUCAACCGGGGAGGGUCAUUGGAAACUGGGGAACUUGAGUGCAGGAGAGGAAAGUGGAAUUCCACGUGUAGCGGUGAAAUGCGUAGAUAUGUGGAGGAACACCAGUGGCGAAGGCGACUUUCUGGCCUGUAACUGACACUGAGGCGCGAAAGCGUGGGGAGCAAACAGGAUUAGAUACCCUGGUAGUCCACGCCGUAAACGAUGAGUGCUAAGUGUUGGGGGGUUUCCGCCCCUCAGUGCGGCAGCUAACGCAUUAAGCACUCCGCCUGGGGAGUACGGUCGCAAAGACUG